RNAcentral lists this ribosomal RNA (370 nucleotides) under uncultured bacterium. RNAcentral's name for it is "bacterial SSU rRNA". It matches the Rfam family "Bacterial small subunit ribosomal RNA", at positions 30 to 404 of the family's 1533-position model. The record is from RNAcentral.
AUUGAACGCUGGCGGCAUGCCUUACACAUGCAAGUCGAACGGCAGCACGGGAGCAAUCCUGGUGGCGAGUGGCGAACGGGUGAGUAAUAUAUCGGAACGUGCCCAGUCGUGGGGAUAACGUAGUGAAAGCUACGCUAAUACCUCAUACGAUCUACGGAUGAAAGCGGGGGAUCGCAAGACCUCGCGCGAUUGGAGCGGCCGAUAUCAGAUUAGGUAGUUGGUGAGGUAAAGGCUCACCAAGCCAACGAUCUGUAGCUGGUCUGAGAGGACGACCAGCCACACUGGAACUGAGACACGGUCCAGACUCCUACGGGAGCAGCAGUGGGGAUUUGGACAAUGGACGCAAGUCUGAUCCAGCCAUUCCGCGUGC